UAAAUUAUUGGACAAAGUUGUUCAUGUUUUUUCUUCUUCUGGGGAAUUGGUAGAAGUGACCUGCAUUGCAAGCAGUAUAGUUUUGUGUCUUUUUUUAGUACAUCAAGUUAAAAUAGAUCCAAACACUAGUAUUAUUAGUUCACAUGCUGAAAUUGUCUUUGAAGUGUAAGGCUUCUUUCUAAAACAUACUAGUGGAAUUAUCGUUGCAUAUACAUCAUGUUUUUAUGGAAGGAAGAACCACUGAUAUUUUAAAACCUCCUUGGCUAUAUGCCAUGCUUAAUAAUUGUAAUUGGUUAAUGCUUGUUUCACCUUCCUUUUAUCAAACUUGUAACUCCAUAAUUUUCUUGUUAUAAUUAUUGUUAUUGUGAUUGGCUCCAUAAAUUUGAUUGCAUCCAUUUGUAAUUUUGAGUAUGCUAAUAAUAAUUUAAAAGAUCUUUUGUCAAUUAAUAGGUAAUUUAUAUUGUUAUGUUGUGAUUUAUCUCUGGUAGGCUUUGUCUAAUAUGCACAAGUGAGAUAAAUCGUUUCACCAUGUGCAAACUUGUUUCACCAUUAGAUCAAUAAGUCUCACCCUGCAUCUAUAAGUCACACCACAUCUCACUUGAUCCAAUGGAUAAAAUAAACUUGUGCAUGGUGAAAUAUUUGUCUCACUUGUGCACCAUAUACUUGGCUGCUAUAGUAAAUGCAUCUCCUGGAUAUCUAAAUCAUUGGUGGUUCCCUUGUUGCUUUUGCUAUUGAAAUGUGUUGUCUCCUGGCAUUAAGAAUGUUUCCACUUGAAGCUUUUUGAUCUUAUUUCCCAUGCCUUAAUCCUCGUGCUGUAUAUUGAUAUCAUCUGCAAGCAGAAUGAUCUUCCAUGUGUUGACGGGCAACAAACUUGUUUUUUUUUUCUUUCAUCGUUUUUCAUUUAGCUUUAGAUCAAAUGAAGGAUUUGUAGACUGUACAUUGAAUUGUACGUAGUGUGUUGACGAGUUAGACCUCUAGAGGUGUUCGUAAGUUCAAUUGCUCUCGUCUUUGGUAGGUUUUCUGGGCUGGUUUAUGUUUCAUUGGUGCAAACUGCAAUGUGUUGGCCUUUCUCUAACAUUGCUAACCAUAAUAUAGUACUAGUCACUUGAAUCACUAAAUGUUUUUGACUAUUGUAUUUCUCAGUUCAUCCUUAAAAGACUUAUUUUUUAUUUUUUGGUUUUAUCCUUAAAAGAUUUCUAGUGACCUGUAUAAAGCUUAAAUGAUCGUUUGUCUUUGUAUUUGUAAAUAGUGUGAUGUGAUGUGAUAAACAAAAUUAUACAUG
This 1282-nucleotide long non-coding RNA is filed under the name Trifolium pratense (red clover). Its description in RNAcentral is "long non-coding RNA (TPRA_LNC006666)". Lineage: Eukaryota; Viridiplantae; Streptophyta; Magnoliopsida; Fabales; Fabaceae. The record is from RNAcentral.